AUCCAGCCAUGCCGCGUGAGUGAAGAAGGCCUUCGGGUUGUAAAGCUCUUUCAGGAUGGAAAGAAAUCCUAUUGCGCUAAUACCGGGUGGGGAUGACGGUACCGUCAGAAGAAGCACCGGCUAACUACGUGCCAGCAGCCGCGGUAAUACGUAGGGUGCGAGCGUUAAUCGGAAUUACUGGGCGUAAAGCGUGCGCAGGCGGUUUUGUAAGACAGACGUGAAAUCCCCGGGCUUAACCUGGGAACUGCGUUUGUGACUGCAAGGCUAGAGUGUGGCAGAGGGGGGUAGAAUUCCACGUGUAGCAGUGAAAUGCGUAGAGAUGUGGAGGAAAACCGAUGGCGAAGGCAGCCCCCUGGGUCAACACUGACGCUCAUGCACGAAAGCGUGGGGAGCAAACAGGAUUAGAUACCCUGGUAGUCCACGCCCUAAACGAUGUCAACUAGGUGUUGGGGGAGGAGACUUCCUUAAUACCGCAUCUAACGCGUGAAKUUGACCCCCUGGGGAGUACGGCCGCGAGGUUG
This 521-nucleotide ribosomal RNA is filed under the name Sideroxydans sp. PN032. Its description in RNAcentral is "bacterial SSU rRNA". It matches the Rfam family "Bacterial small subunit ribosomal RNA", at positions 386 to 896 of the family's 1533-position model. Lineage: Bacteria; Pseudomonadati; Pseudomonadota; Betaproteobacteria; Nitrosomonadales; Gallionellaceae. RNAcentral also lists the same sequence under 1 other name. The record is from RNAcentral.